This 253-nucleotide ribosomal RNA is filed under the name uncultured bacterium. Its description in RNAcentral is "partial 16S ribosomal RNA". It matches the Rfam family "Bacterial small subunit ribosomal RNA", at positions 524 to 776 of the family's 1533-position model. The record is from RNAcentral.
UACGUAGGCAGCAAGCGUUGUUCGGAGUUACUGGGCGUAAAGGGUGUGUAGGCGGCCUUCUAAGUUCGGUGUGAAAUCUCCCGGCUCAACCGGGAGGGUGCGCCGGAAACUGGCAGGCUAGAGUGUGGGAUGGGAAAGUGGAAUUCCUGGUGUAGCGGUGAAAUGCGUAGAUAUCAGGAGGAACACCGGUGGUGUAGACGGCUUUCUGGACCAUAACUGACGCUGAGACACGAAAGCGUGGGUAGCAAACAGG